Molecule: transfer RNA, 71 nt
Filed under: Loxodonta africana (African savanna elephant)
Lineage: Eukaryota; Metazoa; Chordata; Mammalia; Proboscidea; Elephantidae
Rfam family: tRNA
About the family: Transfer RNA (tRNA) molecules are approximately 80 nucleotides in length. Their secondary structure includes four short double-helical elements and three loops (D, anti-codon, and T loops). Further hydrogen bonds mediate the characteristic L-shaped molecular structure. tRNAs have two regions of fundamental functional importance: the anti-codon, which is responsible for specific mRNA codon recognition, and the 3' end, to which the tRNAs corresponding amino acid is attached (by aminoacyl-tRNA synthetases). tRNAs cope with the degeneracy of the genetic code in two manners: having more than one tRNA (with a specific anti-codon) for a particular amino acid; and 'wobble' base-pairing, i.e. permitting non-standard base-pairing at the 3rd anti-codon position.
Source: Rfam by way of RNAcentral
GCACUGGCGGUUCAGUGGUAGAAUUCUUGCCUUCCAUGCAGGAGACCUGAGUUCGGUUCCCAGGCAGUGCA